Long non-coding RNA from Micropterus salmoides (largemouth bass), 748 nucleotides. RefSeq lists it as uncharacterized. The record is from RefSeq and is a predicted model, not a curated record. NCBI's taxonomy places the organism in Eukaryota, Metazoa, Chordata, Actinopteri, Centrarchiformes, Centrarchidae. The transcript is spliced from 2 exons.
CAUCCUUGCAGAGCUCCUCCCAAUGUGAACCUGAGGUCUGAUCAGCCAAAGUGAAAACACCUGUGUGGGAGUGCUGUGCCUUUAAAGAAAUACAGGCGCUAUCUUAUGUUUAAACUAAAUAUAGUGAAGCUAUCACGCAUACAACAGUACAGCCCAGUCACAACUUGCAGUGACCCAGUGAGUCACAACAGUGUAUACCAGGAUGCUGAAACUGAAGCAGCUAAAUGGAAUUCAGCCAUCAUUAAUGUGCUUAUUUACACCUGUGCCUCUUCCUAAUGUGAAGUGUCAAACAUCAAUUAGUCAUCUGUGUAUUCCAUGUAUUUUACAAAUAUGGGUAGUAAAGGUUGCUCUUUAAAAGAUACUGACACAGUUGAAGCUAAUGUAUCAAGCAAAGCUAACUAAGCUAAGCUAAACUAUUUCUAUUAUCUACGGUUUCUCAUGAGAAAUGCAUACUGCUUUUUUUAAUAAGAUCAAGCAAUUUCUGAUGCACUGAGCAUUUUUAGGAAAUGGAAAUCUUAAAAAAAAACAAACUGACUGUUCUGCUGACAGUGUAUGCAAAGGUCUGCAGAAGAUGAGCCGUUUUAAUUGUCUGCCUGAAGCAUUUCACAGGCACUGAGCAUCUCUUCCCACUGGACUCAAUCUAUCAACAAAAACGCACCUUUCCAAUGCCAUACAGUGAAAUCUGCCUCUGACCCUGUGAGCCAACAUGCCUCUGUGUUACAAAGCAAAUUAAAACUCACCAAAAAUA